UUUCCGUAGGUGAACCUGCGGAAGGAUCAUUGCAUCGAUCGAACCACCUUUCCACGCGAACGCCCGUCUCCCCGCGCCUCGGUCGCGUGGCCCGCUCAUGACGUCUUCGGCCGCUGUCGGCCGAACGAAAGAGGCGGCCGCCGCUCGAGCGUGCGCCUGCUCCCCGGUCGGCUCUGCCGGUCGGGGCACGGGCGGAGCCGGUCCGUGGGAUGAGGCCGCCGUCGAGGCGGCCGACGACUCCCGCGGGUCGCCGGCUGGGACAGCCCCAACCGAUCCGUGACACUCGAAAUCUGGAGCCAUAGCGCGCGCUGGGUCACGCAUCCAACGUCGCCGCCGAAACCAAAGACAACUCUCAACAACGGAUAUCUUGGCUCCC
RNAcentral lists this unclassified non-coding RNA (376 nucleotides) under plant metagenome. RNAcentral's name for it is "partial contains small subunit ribosomal RNA, internal transcribed spacer 1, and 5.8S ribosomal RNA". The record is from RNAcentral.